This 26-nucleotide non-coding RNA is filed under the name Homo sapiens (human). Lineage: Eukaryota; Metazoa; Chordata; Mammalia; Primates; Hominidae. The record is from RNAcentral.
UCUCCAAGAUGAGCUGGUUGAUUUUA